GGGCUCGUAGUUUAGCGGUAUAACGCGGCUCUCACACAGCCGAGGUCCCCGGUUCGAAUCCGGGCGGGCCCA
RNAcentral lists this transfer RNA (72 nucleotides) under Candidatus Woesearchaeota archaeon. RNAcentral describes it as "tRNA-Val". It matches the Rfam family "tRNA". From Rfam's summary of the family: Transfer RNA (tRNA) molecules are approximately 80 nucleotides in length. Their secondary structure includes four short double-helical elements and three loops (D, anti-codon, and T loops). Further hydrogen bonds mediate the characteristic L-shaped molecular structure. tRNAs have two regions of fundamental functional importance: the anti-codon, which is responsible for specific mRNA codon recognition, and the 3' end, to which the tRNAs corresponding amino acid is attached (by aminoacyl-tRNA synthetases). tRNAs cope with the degeneracy of the genetic code in two manners: having more than one tRNA (with a specific anti-codon) for a particular amino acid; and 'wobble' base-pairing, i.e. permitting non-standard base-pairing at the 3rd anti-codon position. Lineage: Archaea; Nanobdellati; Candidatus Woesearchaeota. The record is from RNAcentral.